AUGAUCAUACAUCAACCAAUCUCAUCAAACACGAGAAAAUAAAAUAACAUGGCCUCAGACAAUCUUGUAGUGCUCAAUGCACUUGACACAGCGCGUACCCAAUGGUACCAUGUCACUGCUGUUAUCAUUGCUGGGAUGGGAUUUUUCACUGAUGCAUAUGAUCUGUUCUGUAUCACUACUAUCUCAAAACUUUUAGGCCGUUUGUACUACUACGACCCAACUACCCAUGCCCCUGGAAAAUUGCCUCAUGUCGCAAACAAUUGGGUGAUUGGAGUUGCUCUAGUUGGUACUCUAUCUGGCCAGCUUGUUUUUGGUUGGCUCGGAGACAAACUUGGUCGAAAGAAAGUCUAUGGACUUACGUUAAUUCUCAUGGUCCUUUGUGCACUUUGCUCGGGGUUGUCCCUUGGGUAUAGCGCGAAAGGUGUAAUAGGGACACUUUGUUUCUUCAGAUUCUGGCUUGGAUUUGGAAUUGGAGGUGAUUAUCCUCUUUCUGCUACCAUCAUGUCUGAAUACGCUAACAAGGCAACUCGUGGGGCGUUCAUUGCUGCUGUUUUCGCUAUGCAAGGAGUUGGGAUCAUUUUUGCAGGGCUCGUUUCGAUGAUCAUUUCAAAAUUGUUCUUGAUGAGGUAUGAAGGGAAGCCAUUUAAUGUGGAUGAAAUUUUGUCCACGGAGCCCCAGGCAGAUUAUGUUUGGCGGAUCGUGUUGAUGCUUGGAGCUCUUCCAGCUCUUCUUACCUAUUAUUGGCGCAUGAAGAUGCCUGAAACAGGGCGUUACACUGCCAUGAUUGAAGGAAAUGCUAAACAAGCCGCGAUUAACAUGGGGAAGGUACUUGAUAUUGAAAUUCAAGCAGAAAGUGAUAAAUUGGCUCAAUUUAAAGCAGCUAAUGAGUAUUCUUUACUCUCCAAUGAGUUUUUCCAACGCCACGGGCUUCAUUUGAUUGGUACAAUGAGUACUUGGUUCUUGUUAGACAUAGCUUUCUAUAGCCAAAACCUCACACAAAAGGAUAUAUUUCCAGUCAUGGGACUCACUAGCAAAGCUAACACAAUAUCCGCCUUGAGGGAGAUGUUUGAGACAUCGCGUGCCAUGUUUGUGAUUGCCUUGUUUGGUACUUUUCCUGGUUACUGGUUCACAGUAUUCUUCAUUGAAAAAAUCGGAAGGUUUAGAAUACAAUUGAUGGGGUUCUUCAUGAUGUCUGUUUUCAUGGCGAUCAUUGGAGUCAAAUACGAUUACCUAAAGACUGAAGAACACAAGUGGACAUUCGCUACUCUUUAUGGUUUAACUUUCUUCUUUGCCAAUUUCGGCCCCAAUUCAACCACAUUUGUGCUCCCCGCGGAGCUGUUCCCUACAAGGGUGAGAUCCACUUGCCACGCGUUGAGCGCAGCUUCUGGAAAGGCAGGGGCAAUGAUCAGUGCAUUUGGGAUACAACAAUAUACACAAGAUGGGAAUGUUCAUAAAAUCAAGACAGCUAUGAUACUGUUGGCUGUUACAAAUAUGGUUGGAUUUUGCUGCACGUUCUUGGUGACCGAGACAAAAGGGAGAUCACUCGAAGAAAUUACAGGGGAGGAUGGCGGGCAGAAUGAGACACAAAUGAAGACUAGCAAACCUGUCUCUGGCCAUCAAGACGACGGAUGGGAAUGAUACAAGUUCAAUACAUCAUUCAAUAAAGGGGCUAAUACAUCACUACGCCUUGUGCUUUCUAUCUUCACUCACCUCUAUGAAUAAGAGCUUUAACACGAUCAAUGACCUCAGUACAAAUUACACUAAUAGUAUCGUAUAAAGCCCGCAUAGACAUUUUUAUCUGUUCAUGUU
Solanum pennellii is the source of this 1809-nucleotide RNA transcript. It is a transcript of the gene named inorganic phosphate transporter 1-11-like, with no coding region annotated. The transcript has a single exon. NCBI's taxonomy places the organism in Eukaryota, Viridiplantae, Streptophyta, Magnoliopsida, Solanales, Solanaceae. The record is from RefSeq and is a predicted model, not a curated record.